Molecule: ribosomal RNA, 599 nt
Filed under: Lithohypha guttulata
Lineage: Eukaryota; Fungi; Ascomycota; Eurotiomycetes; Chaetothyriales; Trichomeriaceae
Description: partial large subunit ribosomal RNA
Rfam family: Eukaryotic large subunit ribosomal RNA
Source: RNAcentral
CGGCAACGGGGUUAGACAACAGGGAUGCCUCAGUAACGGCGAGUGAAGCGGCAACAGCUCAAAUUUGAAAUCUGGCCGCAAGGUCCGAGUUGUAAUUUGUAGAGGAUGUUUCGGGCACCGCCGCGGUGUAAGUUCCUUGGAACAGGACGUCAAAGAGGGUGAGAAUCCCGUCUUGGAUCGCGGUAGGGCUCGUGUGAAACUCCUUCGACGAGUCGACUUGUUUGGGAAUGCAGGUCAAAAUGGGAGGUAAAUUUCUUCUAAAGCUAAAUAUUGGCCCGAGACCGAUAGCGCACAAGUAGAGUGAUCGAAAGAUGAAAAGCACUUUGAAAAGAGAGUUAAACAGUAUGUGAAAUUGUUGAAAGGGAAGCGCAGGCAACCAGACUCGAGCGCGGGGUUCCCCUGGUUCUGCCAGGUCACUUCCCCGCGACCGGGCCAUCAUCAGGUUUGGGGGUCGGUCAAAGGCCCCGGGAAUGUACCUACUCCUUCGGGGGUAGACUUAUAGCCCGGGGUGUCAUGCGACCUCCCGGGCCUGAGGAACGCGCUUCGGCGAGGAUGAUGGCGUAAUGGUUGUCUGCGACCCGUCUUGAAACACGGACCUA